AAAUCGUAACAAGGUUUCCGUAGGUGAACCUGCGGAAGGAUCAUUGCAAAUUAUUCCAAGAUCAGCUUGCAUUCUUCGGACUGUAUGUUGAUCCUACGAAUUGCAACCCUUUGUGCGCUGUUGUCGAUGUCGUCAUCCUUUCGGGCUAGGUUCUGUCGUCUCGUUGAGGCCUUUUAAUCAGCCCAGAGGUGACCUUUGUAAAACUCUUGCUUUUUUCCUAGUCUGAAGUUAUCUGAUCUUUUUGAUCAGAGUUUAUGUUUAACAUAAAUGCAACUUUCAACAAUGGAUCUCUUGGCUCUC
RNAcentral lists this unclassified non-coding RNA (300 nucleotides) under fungal sp. Its description in RNAcentral is "partial internal transcribed spacer region". The stretch from base 1 to 46 matches the Rfam family "Eukaryotic small subunit ribosomal RNA", at positions 1786 to 1831 of the family's 1831-position model. The record is from RNAcentral. Lineage: Eukaryota; Fungi.